This 253-nucleotide ribosomal RNA is filed under the name uncultured bacterium. Its description in RNAcentral is "partial 16S ribosomal RNA". It matches the Rfam family "Bacterial small subunit ribosomal RNA", at positions 524 to 776 of the family's 1533-position model. The record is from RNAcentral.
UACGUAGGGGGCGAGCGUUGUCCGGAUUUAUUGGGCGUAAAGAGCGUGUAGGCGGCCAGGUAGGUCUGCUGUGAAAACUCGAGGCUCAACCUCGAGACGUCGGCGGAAACCAUCUGGCUAGAGUCCGGAAGAGGAGAGUGGAAUUCCUGGUGUAGCGGUGAAAUGCGCAGAUAUCGGGAGGAACACCUAUGGCGAAGGCAGCUCGCUGGGACGUUACUGACGCUGAGACGCGAAAGCGUGGGGAGCGAACAGG